This 724-nucleotide long non-coding RNA is filed under the name Homo sapiens (human). Its description in RNAcentral is "LHRI_LNC485.1". The record is from RNAcentral. Lineage: Eukaryota; Metazoa; Chordata; Mammalia; Primates; Hominidae.
CUGUUGGGAAGUAGGGGGAGGGCAAGGUUAAAACCUAUGCAGGUGUGUCAAUUAGACUUGUUCCAACUUGAGAACCUGAAUUUUGCAUGUAAUUGAAAUGUUCCAGAACAAGUCUGGCAGUUUCAUAAGGGAGUUUUUAGAUGCCAAUACAUUGCAGAUAACCAUAUUGGCUACAUUAGGGGAAUGAGCAUGGAUAGGUGCCUCCAAGUUGGUAGAAUAGCAUGAGAAGUUUUCAAAAGUAACCGCUUUAAGGUUAUGUUCAGUAUUUGCUAAGUAAACAAAGAUUCCCCAACCUUGAGGGAGCUUGUGGACCAAGGGGAUAGUGUUGUCCUGCCCAGCCUAGGGGAAAAGUAUCCUGAAGGUUAAUAAGGUGGUGGAGGAACAUUAGGCCACAGGGAGCAGAGGGAAAGCAUAACAGCAGGGGAUGAUAAGGGUGAUUAUAGUUUAGAAAGCAUGAAAGUAUGACUUAAGGAAAUGUCUUUAGGUUGAACAUUCUGUAUAUAACCUGCCUUUCUAAAGUUUCAAAGGGGAUGGAUACCCAUCAGGGGCAAAGAUCCAAAUCCUGAGGGUAGAAUGAGGAGGAUGUAUACUAAAGUCUUUUGGCUAAAAGGACAUUGAUAGCCCAUUUUUAGAAUGGCUACAGUUGCAACCCAACUCUACCCCACUGAACAGCUUUUAUUACCAGUAUUUACAUGACCACUUUUUCUUUACACCUCACCCUACC